AUGGGCUGCGACGGGCCGGCGAUCGGCGUCGACCUCGGGACGACCUACUCGUGCGUGGCCGUGUGGCGGCCGUCCCACAACCGCGUCGAGGUUGUCCCCAACGACCAGGGGAACCUCACCACGCCGUCGUGCGUCGCCUUCACCGACGCCUGGCGGCUCGUCGGCGACGCCGCAAGGAACCCCGUCAACACCGUAUUCGAUGCGAAGCGACUGAUUGGCCGGCGAUUCAACGACCCGUCUGUGCAAGGAGAUAUCAAGCUAUGGCCUUUCAAAGUCAUUCCAGGCCCUGCUGACCGACCGAUGAUGGUGGUUCAGUACGGGGGUGAGGAGAGGCAUUUCACGGCAGAAGAGAUCUCCUCCAUGAUACUCGUUAAGAUGAAGGAGACUGCCGAGGCCUACCUCGGCACGUCGGUAAAGAACGUCGUCAUCACUGUCCCGGUUUACUUCAACGACUCCCAGCGCCAGGCCACCAUUGACGCCGGUGCGAUUGCUGGCCUCAACGUCAUGCGCAUCAUCAACGAGCCCUCCGCAGCAGCCAUAGCCUACGGCCUUGACAAGAUGUCCGGCAGCGGUGAAGCGAAGACGGUACUCAUCUUUGAUCUUGGUGGUGGUACCAUGGAUGUCUCCAUUGUCAGUGUACAAAAUGAUGUCUUCACAGUCAAGGCCACGUCUGGUGACACCCACCUGGGCGGGCAGGAUCUCAACAACCGGAUGGAGCUCAACAUGGACCUCUUCCACAAGUGCAUCGAGCACGUCGAGAAAUGCCUCGGCGAUGCCAAGAUGGACAAGUCUGGGAUCCAUGACGUCGUGCUCGUGGGCGGCUCCACCCGGAUCCCCAAGGUGCAGCAGCUGCUCCAGGAUUUCUUUGAUGGGAAGACGCUCUGCAAGAGCAUCAACCCCGAUGAGGCCGUCGCCUACGGUGCUGCCGUCCAGGCUGCCGUCCUCAGCGGCGAGUGCGACCGCAAGGGGCAGGACUUCCUCCUGCUGGACGUCACUCCACUCUCGCUCGGGGUCGAGAUAUAUGACUCUUUCAUGAGCGUGCUGGUUCCCCGGAACACCACCAUCCCUGUUAAGAGGGAGGGGCGGUACACGACUGAAUUCGACAACCAGAAGAGCGUGCGCAUCAAGGUGUAUGAGGGUGAAGGGGCAUGGACCAAGGACAACAGGCUUCUGGGAGAGUUCAUGCUCGAGGGCCUCGUCCCAGCGCCAAGGGGCGUGCCGAAGAUCAUUGAAACCAUGGAAGUCGAAGCGAACGGCAUCCUGAAGGUGACGGCGGUGGACGUGACGACCGGGAGCAAGAAGAGCAUCAACAUCACGACCAACAAGGGUGGGCUGAGCAAGGAGGAGAUUGAACGCAUGGUGAAGGACGCCGAGAAGUACAGGUCGGAGGACAGGAAGAGGAUAAUGAAAAUGAAGAGGGAAGACGAGGAGGGCUGGCUGAGCAAGGCGGAUUUUGAGAGGACAGUGCAGAAUAGCAAGAAGCAAGUGAAGAAAAUAAAGAUGGAAGACGAUGAGGGUUGGCUGAGCAAGGAGGAGUUUGAGCGGACGGUACAGCAUGCAAAGGAGCAGAGGAAGCAAAUAAAGGAGGAAGCCGGAGGCCCAUAA
This 1605-nucleotide ribosomal RNA is filed under the name Triticum aestivum (bread wheat). RNAcentral describes it as "partial small subunit ribosomal RNA". Lineage: Eukaryota; Viridiplantae; Streptophyta; Magnoliopsida; Poales; Poaceae. The record is from RNAcentral.